This 372-nucleotide ribosomal RNA is filed under the name uncultured organism. Its description in RNAcentral is "bacterial SSU rRNA". It matches the Rfam family "Bacterial small subunit ribosomal RNA", at positions 526 to 896 of the family's 1533-position model. The record is from RNAcentral.
CGAACCGUACGAACGUUAUUCGGAAUUACUGGGCUUAAAGGGUGCGUAGGCGGCGCAGUAAGUUGGGUGUGAAAUCCCUCGGCUUAACCGAGGAAUUGCGCCCAAAACUACCGUGCUCGAGGGAGAUAGAGGUGAGCGGAACUUAGGGUGGAGCGGUGAAAUGCGUUGAUAUCCUAAGGAACACCGGUGGCGAAAGCGGCUCACUGGAUCUCUUCUGACGCUGAGGCACGAAAGCUAGGGUAGCAAACGGGAUUAGAUACCCCGGUAGUCCUAGCCGUAAACGAUGAGCACUGGAUCGAAGGGUCCUCCAUAGCCUUUCGGUCGAGGCGAAAGUGUUAAGUGCUCCGCCUGGGGAGUAUGGUCGCAAGGCUG